RNAcentral lists this long non-coding RNA (1061 nucleotides) under Calidris pugnax (ruff). RNAcentral describes it as "lncRNA (ENSCPUG00000010115.1)". Lineage: Eukaryota; Metazoa; Chordata; Aves; Charadriiformes; Scolopacidae. The record is from RNAcentral.
CCCGGGCAGCGCCGCCCGCCCGAAGCCCCGGCCGCCAUCUUUGGUAGGGGCAGGGAGCACGCGCCUCCUCACACACCUCCUCCUGUCACCUCCCUCCCCCGGGGCGAGGAGGCGGUGGAUGGUGGCCAGCGCUAAUUAAGGAAAAAAAAAAAAUUAAAAAAAAAAAAAAUAGCGUUUCAUCGAGGUAGCGAGGAGGUGCGGAGCUCCAGCCGCACUGCCCGCAUUAAAGAUGGCCAGCGGAGCCCCUCAGCUGUCACGGGGCGGUAGGAACUGCCGCGCUCCCUCGGGGACACCCCGGUUUUAGACAUAAGAACCCAUUUUCACUCUUUAUUGGUGCGUUGGGUCAGGCCUUAACGCUGCCUCAGGAGACCUUCUGUGAAGCCUUCCUUGGCGGCCGCCACGGCCAUCAAUGAGCGGGUGCCAGGCAGGGCCCCGUGGACGCAGGCUCCCGCGUUGGAUCCAGAGAGGAGCUCGAUUUUAUCCCCGCGUUGCCAAAUCACCUGGCAGCCACCUGCGGCACCGGGCAGGAACCAUCACUCCAUCUUUCCAACCUGCCAGAGGGCAAGAGUGGAGACACCGAGGAGACGUGGGCCUGUCUGCCACCGUCGGCGGGGAAAAAAGGGUUCUACCGUUACUGACGUCUGAGGCAUCACCUACCACUACAGGGCUUUUGGUUAUUUGCCAAGGAACUUCUAGACGUCCUGACACGUUACACACUCUUUCACGUAAAGCAAGGAAUUACUUGAAUCAAAAGGAUGAAAACACCCUAACAAGCCUCUCCAAUUCAAGAGCGCAAAACUGUGGAAAUAUGACCCGCGCCAUGAGAAAUCCCACAGGAUUACAUCAAAGGCCAGGCAAAGACACGUGUCAAUCUGAAGAGUAAUUUGAGAGUUACAUAUCUGAACAAUGGGAACCAGCGCCUGAACCGUCGGAGGGAGGUAUUUUCCGUGCCCCAAGUCAUUCCGGUUUGGGAUAUAUUCCUGUCAGCGCAACUUUGAAGGGAAGGUUGCUGCUGCUAUGUCCUAAAUAAAGCAAAAUUAGCAAAGUCUGUUGCUAGCGUC